UUUCGCAAUGCCCGAAAGGGUGACGAAGCGACGCCGCGUGGGUGAGGAAGGCCCUCGGGUUGUAAAGCCCUGUCAGGAGUUAAGAAAUGUAAGUGUGUUAAUACCACAUUUAUUUGACGAAGGCUCCAAAGGAAGCCACGGCUAACUCUGUGCCAGCAGCCGCGGUAAUACAGAGGUGGCAAGCGUUGUUCGGAAUUAUUGGGCGUAAAGAGCACGUAGGUGGGUUUGUAAGUCAGAUGUGAAAGCCUCCUGUUCAACGGGAGAAUUGCAUCUGAAACUACUGAUCUUGAGUAUAGGAGGGGAGAAUGGAACUUCUGGUGGAGCGGUGAAAUGCGUAGAUAUCAGAAGGAACGCCGGCGGCGAAAGCGAUUCUCUGGCCUAUUACUGACACUCAGUGUGCGAAAGCUAGGGGAGCAAACGGGAUUAGAUACCCCGGUAGUCCUAGCCGUAAACGAUGGGCACUAAGUAGAGGGGUUUU
RNAcentral lists this ribosomal RNA (478 nucleotides) under uncultured Planctomycetales bacterium. Its description in RNAcentral is "bacterial SSU rRNA". It matches the Rfam family "Bacterial small subunit ribosomal RNA", at positions 364 to 832 of the family's 1533-position model. The record is from RNAcentral. Lineage: Bacteria; Pseudomonadati; Planctomycetota; Planctomycetia; Planctomycetales.